Molecule: ribosomal RNA, 496 nt
Filed under: uncultured bacterium
Lineage: Bacteria
Description: partial 16S ribosomal RNA
Rfam family: Bacterial small subunit ribosomal RNA
Source: RNAcentral
GAUGAACGCUGGCGGCGUGCCUAAUACAUGCAAGUCGAGCGAACAGACGAGGAGCUUGCUCCUCUGACGUUAGCGGCGGACGGGUGAGUAACACGUGGAUAACCUACCUAUAAGACUGGGAUAACUUCGGGAAACCGGAGCUAAUACCGGAUAAUAUAUUGAACCGCAUGGUUCAAUAGUGAAAGACGGUUUUGCUGUCACUUAUAGAUGGAUCCGCGCCGCAUUAGCUAGUUGGUAAGGUAACGGCUUACCAAGGCAACGAUGCGUAGCCGACCUGAGAGGUGGUUCGCCAACCUGGAACUGAGACAAGGUCCAGACUCCUACGGGAGGCAGCAGUAGGGAAUCUUCCGCAAUGGGCGAAAGCUUGACGGAGUAACGCCGCGUGAGUGAUGAAGGUCUUCGGAUCGUAAAACUCUGUUAUUAGGGAAGGACAAAUGUGUAAGUAACUAUGCACGUCUUGACGGUACCUAAUCAGAAAGCCACGGCUAACUACGUG